CACAGACUAAAUUCAGAAAGCUAUGCUACAGAGGGGAAACUGAAAGUGAGAGAUCUGUAUCAGAAGAAAGCAGCAGUAACAGCAAGUUAUCCCCCAGUGAAAGCAACAGUCUCUAACAACCUUGGAAUGCUAAUGCCCGGGGAGAGGAUAGUACUAGAUACUUCAUCAGGAACUGGCCUGUACCAAAAAGGAAAAAAAUAAUGUCUUUGUUACCUGCGUUGUCACUGCUGAGGGUUUAAAGCUAUGAAAGAAUAAAUCAUCUGUGCCUGAAUCUCCUGA
Long non-coding RNA from Galeopterus variegatus (Sunda flying lemur), 279 nucleotides. RefSeq lists it as uncharacterized. Lineage: Eukaryota; Metazoa; Chordata; Mammalia; Dermoptera; Cynocephalidae. The transcript has 3 exons. The record is from RefSeq and is a predicted model, not a curated record.